GUUAAAAAGCUCGUAGUUGGAUUUCUGCUGAAGCAAACCGGUCCGCCCUCUGGGUGAGCAUCUGGUUUUGUUUUGGCAUAUGCUUAGACUUUGCAGCUGCACUUGACUGUGUGGUGUGAAGGCUGAGCCAUUUACUUUGAGGAAAUCAGAGUGUUUCAAGCAGGCCAUUGCCUUGAAUACACUAGCAUGGAAUAAUAUGAUAUGACUGUGGUUUUAUUUUGUUGGCUUUUAGAAUUAGAGUAAUGGUUAAUAGGGAUAGUUGGGGGCAUUCAUAUUUAACUGUCAGAGGUGAAAUUCUUGGAUUUGUUAAGGAUGAACGACUGCGAAAGCAUUUGCCAAGGAUGCUUUCAUUGAUCAAGAACGAAAGUUAGGGGAUCGAAGACGAUUAGAUACCGUCCUAGUCUUAACCAUAAACCAAGCCAACUAGAGAUUGGAGAUUGUUAUGUGCAUGACUCCUUCAGCACCUUAUGAUAAAUCAAAGUCUUUGGGUUCCGGGGGGAGUAUGGUCGCAAGGCUGAAACUUAAAGGAAUUGACGGAAGGGCACCACCAGGAGUGGAGCCUGCGGCUUAAUUUGACUCAACACGGGGAAACUUACCAGGUCCAGACAUAGUAAGGAUUGACAGAUUGAUAGCUCUUUCUUGAUUCUAUGGGGUGGUGGUG
This 661-nucleotide ribosomal RNA is filed under the name uncultured marine eukaryote. RNAcentral's name for it is "SSU rRNA". It matches the Rfam family "Eukaryotic small subunit ribosomal RNA", at positions 618 to 1282 of the family's 1831-position model. The record is from RNAcentral.